This 437-nucleotide long non-coding RNA is filed under the name Homo sapiens (human). Its description in RNAcentral is "HSALNT0204433". The record is from RNAcentral. Lineage: Eukaryota; Metazoa; Chordata; Mammalia; Primates; Hominidae.
UAAACGGCAAACUCUCUGCAUGACUGGAGAGGGUAAAGGGCCAGAGGACAGGAGCAGUUUUACAAGCACCACAUCUGCCACACACAGGUAGCAGAUACCACUGGAAGGUCCAAGAUCCAGGGGCCCACAUCUGCUAAGGGCUUUCAUGCCGUGUCAUCCCAUGAGGAAAGACAGAGGGAUCCUGUUCUCUGCAAAUGCAAACAGUUCUUUUAUUACAAGGCUUUUUCAAGGGGAAGAGAAAACUCAUUUGGCAGAUAAGGUUAACCUUUUAAAAAAUCAAGUGUGUUAAGAAGGAGAGUCAGAUCCAGAGAAAAGUGACACAUCUAGAUACAAAUUCUAGGAUCUUCCCGCCUUUCAGUAUCAUCACUGCUUUUCCACUUUGACACUAUAUGAACUUCUAGGUUUCAUAUGAAACAUUCUGUAUUAUUUUCAGAAAU